Molecule: unclassified non-coding RNA, 353 nt
Filed under: uncultured Entoloma
Lineage: Eukaryota; Fungi; Basidiomycota; Agaricomycetes; Agaricales; Entolomataceae
Description: partial contains 5.8S ribosomal RNA, internal transcribed spacer 2, and large subunit ribosomal RNA
Rfam family: 5.8S ribosomal RNA (bases 1-102)
Source: RNAcentral
AUGCGAUAAGUAAUGUGAAUUGCAGAAUUCAGUGAAUCAUCGAAUCUUUGAACGCACCUUGCGCUCCUUGGUAUUCCGAGGAGCAUGCCUGUUUGAGUGUCAUGAAAUUCUCAACCUUUCUGGCUUUUGUGAGCUGGUUAGGCUUGGAUAAUGGGAGUUGCUGGCUUUCAGAAGUCAGCUCUUCUAAAAUACAUUAGCAAACAUCAUUGCUGCUCAUCAUUGGUAUGAUAAUUAUCUAUAUCAUUGAGAGUCAGUGUAUCCCCUUUGUGGGAAGAUUUUGCUUACAACCGUCUUCUUAGACAAUAUUUGACAAUUUUGACCUCAAAUCAGGUAGGACUACCCGCUGAACUUAA